Long non-coding RNA from Passer domesticus (house sparrow), 3066 nucleotides. RefSeq lists it as uncharacterized. The record is from RefSeq and is a predicted model, not a curated record. The transcript has 4 exons. NCBI's taxonomy places the organism in Eukaryota, Metazoa, Chordata, Aves, Passeriformes, Passeridae.
CCCGGUGUUCCACCCUCCUGGAGCACACUAGGAGGCGCGGCGAGCUUGUUUUUUCCUCAGGGAUUCCGCUUCUCCCGUGAGAUCCUUGCAGGCUGUUCCAGCGCCAUGUGCCGGGACUCCGCGCUUCCUGACCUGUCCUGCCCCAGGAGCACCGCGACUCUCGGGCUGAGUGCUGUUGGGAUGGCACCGUGUCCCAGGGAUAUCAAGGGACAUAGACCUGCCCACAGCACCCCCAGGCCGUGCUGUGGAGGUGAGCAAGGAGCCAGGAGCUGCCUGCCCCAAGUGCCUACCUCAUCCAAGGAGUGUCAGGGGACACAGGAGCUGCAGGCAGUGCCUGGUACAGAGGGGACUCCACUGCCUUGUGCUGCUGCCUCAGCUGCAGCCACAGCCUGUGGGCCCUCAGAGCAGGGCAGCCCAGAAGAGCCAGGCUCACCCUCAUCUCACUUCUGCUGUCAGGAAUGGGACUGAGAGAGACCCUUCAUGCAGUGAGGAGCAUGUGACAUGUGUUUAAUCAGCAAGGGAAGAGGCCAGGCUCCUUGCUGAGUAGAGCUCCCUGUAGAGGACAACCCGUGUGGCUUCUGGGUGACAGACACCCUGGCUCCAGCUGAUAGACACCCCAGCUAGUUUGGAUUAGAGCUGCUCCUGGUUUUCAAAGCUCUGACUGAUAAAUGCUCCAGCUGCUUACAAUUCAAAGUAUUUGAUGCUCUAAGUGAUUUCAACUCCUGCCUCUUCCAGCUCCAGAUCACAGUUGUGGCUGCUCUGCUGUUGAGGUACAAGAUGCUCCUACCAGCAGAUGUCCUCCCCUUGUUACACCCUGAGUUAGGGACACCUGGGCUUCUCUUGAGUUUCAGGUGAUUCCAGCUCCUGGAUGUGGGAUGCUAAUUACAGGCAGUGGGUGUUCCACCUCAGGUUAUUUGAAGCCCUGAGCUAUUUUGGCUCCAGCACACGCCAAAGAAGAGGUGCUCCCACUGCUUUCGGAGGCAGAAAUUAAGUAAGUUGGGGGAUGUUUGCAAACAGUCUGAAGGACUCCCAGAAAUGGGAGACAGCCUGUCUCACAAAGCACACUGGUAAGGUCUGAAAGGCCUCCAAGACUGAGUCCUACUAUCAACCUAACACUGCCAUGUUCACCACUCAACCACAUCCCCAAGUGGUGCCACAUCUGCUCAUUUUGUUAACACUUUCAGGGUUGGUGAUUCCACCACUUGGGCAACCUGUUCUAAUUCCUGAUCACCCUUUCCAUGAAGAAAUUUCUCCUAAUAUCCAAUCUAAAGCUCCUCUGGCACGACUUGAGGACAUUUCAUUUCCUCUCAUCUGUCACUUUUUUACCUGGGAGAAGAGAUUGAUCCUCACCUCUCUACAAACUCCUUCCAGGUAGAGAGCAAAAAGUUCUCUCCUAAGCCUCCUUUUUUCCAGGCUAAACAUCUCCAGCUCUGCACUGAUCCCACAGGGACAUGAGAUGAUGCAGUGGGGCACGACCCUGAGCAUCAGAUCAGACACUCCCUUCUCUCUUCAGGACUAAUGCAGUGCCUGGCCCCUAGGCAGGUUUGUGUUUUGGGAUCCUGUGCAGUGUGAUCUGGGAGAGCAGUCAGUCACCAGAGGGCACCAGGGAAGAAGGAUGCUGAGAGCUCCACUUGUUUCUCUGCUUCACAGCUCAGCACAUGAAGGAGGGACUGUUCUUCAGCACUGCCCUGCUGCUUCUGCUGCUGCUGUUUGUCCACAGGCAAUUUCACCAUAACAAAACAUUUCUGCUCUGGCACAAGAUCACAACAAUUUAGCAGUGAGGAGGAAAAAUCUCAGUCACUGGUACUUAUUAGAACAGCUAUUAAUGGAUGUAAAAACUGAGGGUAUCUAUCAAGUUGUCCUUGCCCUUUGUUUGUGUUCAGGACGUUUCACAGAGUGUGCAGUGCUUGCCAUUGGGAUGCUUCAACUCCCUCCCUGGGACUUGCUGUCUCAAUGAAAUCAGAGAGCUGGGGAAGAAAACAUGACUGCAGACAUGGAAAGUUGUUAGAAGAAUCUGAUGUUAGCAGCUUAAUAGACUGUUGUGUUCACUGAGAGGAAACAGAGGCCUUAGAUAUUUCCCAGGUGUGUUAAUUCUCAGCUAAGACAGGUUUUGGCCUGCAAAGCAAGGUAGAGUCAAAACACCUGUAAGACAAAGCAGGGUUGUGAAGGAUUAUAUCUCUAAGCCUAAAUUCAGGAGGUUGGAACACAUCAGUAAAAUGCAGCUCACUCUGAGCAGCAGGGAACCUGCUAGGAAAUCUCCCACUCAAGUAAAAUAUAUGAUGUUAACAUCAUAGUGAUUUAAUUGGUACUUUUCUGGGGCACAGUUUAAGUCAUUUGUUAUGGGAAUGUUAAACCUUACAAGGGAAAGGCCCAUCAUGUUAUUUCCAGGGCUAAUGAGACAGACCAAAUGAUUCCUGAGAGGUUUGACACCAAGCUGGAAAUACUGCACAGUAUCAUGCCAGCCUGAUCUGCAGCUCAGGAGGAUUCCUGGUAAGCAUCAUGUUGAUCAACAUUAGAUUCAAUAUCUACAUCCUUUCCUUCAGGUUUAUCACCUUGAGUUUUUCAAUAGCAAUUACUCAUACAAGAUAUGUUUCUUCUCCUUGUAAUAAAGUUUUAUCCUGUUGUUAAACAUUGCCUCCGAGUGCUGAGGUGAAAGCUCAGAGCUUCAUUCAAGUCCAAACAAAGAAGGGGCACAGUUCAGGGCACACCUUGGUUGGUGUUGCUGCUGUGCAGAUUUCACCUUUCGUUUUGGUUAAUGGACAGCUGGUGGUGACCUCUGCCAGAUUUAAUAUUUAAACACAGCAUGCAAGCUGUCUCGAAGGACUGUCUGAUAAGGUGAUACCUCACUUAUGGUGUGUUUAACAUCUCAGGGUUUUUAUGUUGUGAACUGAGCAAAGCUCACAUGUGUGUUAUGGCUGUGCCUCACAUAUGACCAAGCACAAAACAGAAGUGUGUAAGGUUGAACUCUCUAUUUGACCAGUUGCUAACAUUAAGUAAUUCUGCAAUACACCACACGUUUGUCCAAAGAUAGAUGAGGGAAAAUUUAUGAUCACUUUUUGUGCAUUA